This 435-nucleotide ribosomal RNA is filed under the name uncultured bacterium. RNAcentral's name for it is "bacterial SSU rRNA". It matches the Rfam family "Bacterial small subunit ribosomal RNA", at positions 354 to 796 of the family's 1533-position model. The record is from RNAcentral.
GUGGGGAAUAUUGCGCAAUGGGCGGAAGCCUGACGCAGCGACGCCGCGUGGGGGAUGACGGCCUUCGGGUUGUAAACCUCUUUCGACCUUGACGAAGCCUUUCGGGGUGACGGUAGGGGUAGAAGAAGCACCGGCCAACUACGUGCCAGCAGCCGCGGUAAUACGUAGGGUGCGAGCGUUGUCCGGAAUUAUUGGGCGUAAAGAGCUCGUAGGCGGUCUGUCGCGUCGGUCGUGAAAACUUGGGGCUUAACCCUGAGCUUGCGGUCGAUACGGGCAUGACUUGAGUUCGGCAGGGGAGACUGGAAUUCCUGGUGUAGCGGUGAAAUGCGCAGAUAUCAGGAGGAACACCGGUGGCGAAGGCGGGUCUCUGGGCCGAUACUGACGCUGAGGAGCGAAAGCGUGGGGAGCGAACAGGAUUAGAAACCCUAGUAGUCC